Amblyraja radiata (thorny skate) is the source of this 86-nucleotide long non-coding RNA. RefSeq lists it as uncharacterized. NCBI's taxonomy places the organism in Eukaryota, Metazoa, Chordata, Chondrichthyes, Rajiformes, Rajidae. The transcript is spliced from 3 exons. The record is from RefSeq and is a predicted model, not a curated record.
AAUGUCCAACACUAGAGGGCGUAGCUAUAAGGCGAGAGGGGGAAGGUUUCAUGAGGAUGUGCGGGCAAGUUUUUUACACACAGUAA